CACUUCUCAAUGAGCUCCUUCCUGCCAACAAAUCGUGGCAGCCUAUGGAUUCGCACGAGAAGGACAUCAAUAGUUCAGUAGUGGCACACUCACAACAUGGUUACAUCAGUUGUGAUCAGCUACUUACUGGUCUACAAGU
Phasianus colchicus (ring-necked pheasant) is the source of this 139-nucleotide small nucleolar RNA. Its record names the gene SNORA75. It matches the Rfam family "Small nucleolar RNA SNORA75". From Rfam's summary of the family: U23 belongs to the H/ACA class of snoRNAs. snoRNAs bind a number of proteins (including dyskerin, Gar1p and Nop10p in the case of the H/ACA class) to form snoRNP complexes. The record is from Ensembl. NCBI's taxonomy places the organism in Eukaryota, Metazoa, Chordata, Aves, Galliformes, Phasianidae.